CCUACGGGAGGCAGCAGUGAGGAAUAUUGGUCAAUGGACGAGAGUCUGAACCAGCCAAGUCGCGUGAAGGAUGACUGCCCUAUGGGUUGUAAACUUCUUUUAUAUGGGAAUAAAAUGUUCCACGUGUGGGAUUUUGUAUGUACCAUAUGAAUAAGGAUCGGCUAACUCCGUGCCAGCAGCCGCGGUAAUACGGAGGAUCCGAGCGUUAUCCGGAUUUAUUGGGUUUAACGGGAGCGUAGGGGGAUUGUUAAGUCAGUUGUGAAAGUUUGGGGCUCAACCGUAAAAUUGCAUUUGAAACGGGCAGUCUUGAGUACAGUAGAGGUGGGCGGAAUUCGUGGUGUAGCGGUGAAAUGCUUAGAUAUCACGAAGAACUCCGAUUGCGAAGGCAGCUCACUGGACUGCAACUGACACUGAGGCUCGAAAGUGUGGGUAGCAAACAGGAUUAGAUACCCCUGUAGUC
This 460-nucleotide ribosomal RNA is filed under the name uncultured bacterium. RNAcentral's name for it is "partial 16S ribosomal RNA". It matches the Rfam family "Bacterial small subunit ribosomal RNA", at positions 338 to 795 of the family's 1533-position model. The record is from RNAcentral.